CUCUCUCUCUCUCUCUCUCAAAAUAUAAAUAAACAUUAAAAAAAAUAACGUGGGACACCUUUUCAUAUUCCAACUUCCCACUUAAUGCUAUGUUUGAACAGCACUCACUAUAAUCCUGAGAGGUUGGCAUUCUUGUGUCGUUGGACGGAUGGGGACAUUUCGAGGGCAGAAGGGGCCGGCGGCUUGCCUGAAGAGGAACAGCUGGUACACGGUGGAUCCCGGAUAAACUCAGAUGACAGGGUGUGAGCUCCUACCCGCUGAACUGCAGAGAAGCCUUGUCCUAGGACAGGAACGAGGUCUUCUCCCUCUCGAACUGGAGGAAGACGGGCAGAACUCAGAUCAGCUCUUUAUGUAUUUUCUUCAGAUCAGCUCGUGAAUCACUGGAGCCCGGCAACACACGGGUUAAGAAGGCUCUUUGGGGAACAGGCUUUGCUCUCCCCCGCGAUAGCCCCUGCUGUUAUUUUUACGGGAAAGCAUGUUCUGAGUUCCAAGCCCGGACGCCAGAAGGAGGCCCGGUGCAUGGCCCGUGGGAGCCUGUCUGUGUACCCAACGAAAACAUCACGACUUGAGUAAUAGCGAGUCCUGGAAAUGAUGACGGCCGCUUCCAAGCUUGUUGCCAGCCACUUGCUGGCCUUUGCAGAAACCUGAGACGCAGGCAUGUGUGUAGGGGAGGCGGGAGGCGGGAGUCCCCACCAAGGAGUCUCAGGUUUCGCAAUCUCCACGAGGCUAGAAUCCGUUUUCUCCUCCCGUCUCGGUCAGGCUGCCCGGGAGCAAACCUGGAGACCGAGAUUGGUGUGCAAGCCGUCCGCUGAGGUCACGGUCCCAGGGUGGUCUGCAAGGGGGGGGGGGGGAGGAGACCAAGAAGCCAAGGGGGGACGGCGUUUUCUUCGGCAAAGUCUCCCCAAGGGUUUGUCCAGACUCGGGCGGAGGAGCUGGGCCUUCAUAUCCAAGUACCUGCGUGUCAGUGACCAAGGGUUCACCUGCGGACAGAAGCCCCGGGCAGCUCUCAGCAUCCGCGUGUGCACGCGAAAUAACUGCAGGUGCACGCCGUGCGAAGCAAAGCACCCCAAAGACCAAGGAGGCCGGAAAGAAUCACAAGGCUUCAGGGGAGCUCCCAGAGCACACUGGGGGCCGCCCGUCUUGCUGGACUCACACCAAUCAAUCUCAUCGGGCUCCAGCCAUGUGAUAAGUUAUUCAGUGAGGUGCCGAUACCUUGUAACGUUUUCGUCGCUUCCAGAAAACAAGAGGCCAGUGAUACUUGCCAAUGGCAAAUGCCAGAAACAAUGUGAGCCGGAGCCAGAGGCAAGGAUUCCUGCUCACCAAUCCGGGAGGUCAGCCUGUUGACACAGCCGAUCCAAGGAAGCUGGCCUCCUUCUGCAACCACACACCGUCUGUGAUUCCCGGCAGCCGGGGAAAGAACGUUACUCCCAGCGGCUGGGACGGCGGCCCGGCGGUUUUCUCUCCCCGUCUCCUCCGAAGCCUUUCCCUGCCCGGCGAUGCGUGGGACCAUCUACCGUGACACUGUUGAUCGAAACUCAGCAUGCUGAUGGAAAAGUGCAAACGCGUGAGUGUGUACAGACGGGUGGAUUUUCCCAACGUGAACUCAUCCACGUGACCCCCUCCCAGGAGCCCCUCAGGACGUCGGGAGAUCCCCCGGGCGCCCUUUCGCUCCCCUCCCUCCGCGCCCUCCUUCCCAGGGAAGGUGCCAUCCCGACGUCCGACCCCAGAGGCUAGCUCUGCCCGCCACGGACAUUCUAUACGAGUGACAUCACGCGGGGUGUGCUCUUUCGCGGCCGGAUGCGUUCACGCAGCCCCACCUUUGUGAGGUUCGUCUGCAUGACGGUUUGCAACGGCGGUUUGUUCUUUUUCCAUCGUCGUCUACUGUGCCGCAACUUCUGGAUCCUUCCCAUCGCUGACGGGCAUCAGAGCUCGCUCCCGUUGGGGCCGUUGGAAACGGUGUGCCUGUGAGUGUUCUAGAACGUGUUUCUGGGUGCGCGUAUGUGUGCAUACUGUUGGGCGCACACCCAGGGGAAUGCCUGGCUGUCCGGUAUUUGCAUGUUCAGCUUGAUGAGGUGCAGCCUGUUUGCAAAGUGCACUGAUUUACACGCUCGGAAAAGCGCAGCCGUUCUGGGGCCUGCACCACCUCGCCAGCACUUGGUAUUUGGAACUUCCGUUUUGCUUGCCACCCAAUCAUAAUGCAGGGAACGAUACACUUCGAUAUUCUCCACCCUUACGACUGCCGCUGGUUUUUAUAACAUCUUUGUGGGAAUCGGAAAAGGACCCUCCUGCCUUAAGACCCUUCCGCCGGAUGAAAAUGUGAUGAAAGCUGGUUUUGUCAGAGCAUGGCAUGUGACUGCCCUCUGCUGGAAGACUGUUGAAAUUCAUAGUACAGAGCUUGGAUCCCGGCGAUGGAAAUGGCAACCUCUUAGGUGUGGUAGCCUUGGGCAGUGCACACCCCGGACAACCACACAUGGUGACCCUGCCACUCUUCACUCUUGUUCACACACACUGGAGGUGACGGUCAGGACUGGGCAGAGGCGGCCCAAUGAAAGCUCACAGAAUGAUGGCCGGGGGACUGAACCUGGUCUGCUGUUUUUAUUCGACCCACAGAGGGGGAAAAAAAAAAAUGGAGCUAAUAUUUUAAAAUUUGGCAGAUUGUGUCUAAUGAUCUGGAAAAAUCUGAGAAAUCAGAGAAAGUAGAGAAACUGGGCCCUCACUCCCAAAUUAUAACACCGAGGCUGCUCUCCAUGUGUCUCCAGUUAGCCUUCGUCUCCGCCAUGCCCGACUGUCCCUCAAGCCUUAGUCAAUGGCUAUAGCGAAAUGAAACUAUGCUAAUGCAGCGUCAGAUGCCUUCCCCAAGUGUCUUCCCUUAUGUAUCAGCAGUCUUCACUGCUGUUGGAGGCCUAUACAUUUGUGACCACUGGUCUUGACACUGAUGAAAAAAACCCCACCCCAAGCUGAUCCUUAGAUCGUAAGAUCAAGUAACCCCUAUAUUCUUUGUGCUCUAGUGAAAAUCCCAUCGGACAAGGUUUCUGUGGAAUCAUAGGGUCGAAAGGCUGGAGUCUGCCGGCCCCAACCCCUGCCCCAAGGGGUUGGUGCUUCACCAGCUGGUGGCCCAGGAAGGGGGGAGGUGGGGGAAUGUGGCGGGAGGGCUGGGUGAGCAGGUGAGGGUGAGGGGGCUGCAUCUAGAACUUGCUCGGAGGGAAUCCGGUGUCCCAGGGAUCGGGGCUGGGACAGUGUAGCAGCCUGACAGUUAUGGGGCUGAGACAGAGUUGACGAUUUCAGGUGUUCCCGUUACAUCGUUCUAAGCUAGUCUCUUCAUUAACUCAAGACUUUUUCACUCAUCUAUCUAUCUAUCUAUCUAUCUAUCUAUCUCUAUCUCAUCUUUCUAUCUAUCUAUCAGCAUAUACUGGCUAAAUCAACUAACUUUGAAGUAAUUUAUCGUUUUUGUUAAAGAUGAAUGGUCCUAAUACUGCAUGUGUUUAUGCGGCACCUAUUUUUUUAAGUAUUCUUUUAAUGCUUAUUUUUGAGGGAGAGAGAGAGAAAGAGAGAGAUAGUGUGGGGGAGGGGCAGAGAGAGAGGGAGACACAGAACCCGAAGCAGGCUCCGGGCUCUGAGCCGUCAGCACAGAGCCUGACGCGGGGCUCGAACUCAUGAGCUGUGAGAUCGUGACCUGAGCCGAAGUCAGUUGCUGAACCGACUGAGCCACCCGGGCGCCCCAUUAUUGGGCACUUACUACGUUCCAGGAACUGCGUCACGUCAGGGCCUCCCAGAGUGACCUGACGCUUUGCACAAGGUCACACGUCCCGUCUGUGCCACAACCGGAAUCGGGAGCCCGGGUUCUGACUCACUGAUUUUUCUCCACCCGACGUGCAGUCUGAGUUUCCAAAUCCGGCAGGCAUCAGAGCACGCUGCUCUUUAGAAAGAUGAGCCAAUUUACAUUCUUCACCGGCAGGCCGCGGGCUGCCCCCUCUCCCGGAGAGGCCUUUUUCAAACUGACAUCUGUCAGCAGCCUUGAUCCGUGCGUGGCUUUUUCCAAGCGGUGGUCCUGCUCGGGGACCUCAGCUCAACUUUGAUUCCAGCCGCGGCACACGGGCAGCCCCUCCCGGCUCCAGUAAGAUGGGUCGUGCCCUGGCUGCGAGGGACAGCGUGGGGGCAACCAGGCCCGCGUUGUGCCGUUGCAGGGGUGGGGGAAGGCUCCCGUGAGAUGCGGGCACGCAAGUGUUUGGAAGAAUCAUGCGAUGUUGGGCAAAGGCAGAGCGUUAGGAUUGCGGCGGGUGGGGGAGCGGGCCGGAGGAGGGGGCAGAUGGGCGGGUGCCGCGUCCUCUUCUGGAGUCGGGCCCAGAGCCCAGGGCUCCCCUCCCAUCCCUCUGACAGUGCAGGGCUCGCCAGGUUCUGUGCCGGCAUUCGAGGGAGCGCCGGAGCUCUCUGAGGCUGUGGCUCGGCACUGGAGCCUUCCUUUGGAGACAUCUGCCAGGGAGAUUGGAGCAAAGCUUCUUUGAGGCCACGAAGAGGUGAUUGUUUUGCAUUGUGUAGGAGGAGCCAUCCAGGGGAAGGAGAAAUUUCCCUUCGAGAAAUUCAAGAGGCGAUGCCGGAAUCCUGUCAAUUCCACGACUCACGGAGCGGGGUCUUCGCCUUUGUAGGGAGGGGUGCGGGGGAUGGGCAGGGGGCCGUGACGUGUGUGGGGUCCUUCCUUAGCGGGCAGAAGUCAAAACGGGUGGGACGUGUUCAUUCACGUACUUCCUUAUUAAAAAAUAAUUUACUGG
Leopardus geoffroyi (Geoffroy's cat) is the source of this 4766-nucleotide long non-coding RNA. RefSeq lists it as uncharacterized. The transcript is spliced from 2 exons. The record is from RefSeq and is a predicted model, not a curated record. Lineage: Eukaryota; Metazoa; Chordata; Mammalia; Carnivora; Felidae.